RNAcentral lists this ribosomal RNA (99 nucleotides) under uncultured bacterium. RNAcentral's name for it is "partial 16S ribosomal RNA". It matches the Rfam family "Bacterial small subunit ribosomal RNA", at positions 1384 to 1482 of the family's 1533-position model. The record is from RNAcentral.
UACACACCGCCCGUCACACCAUGGGAGCGGGUUCUGCCAGAAGUAGUUAGCCUAACCGCAAGGAGGGCGCUUACCACGGUGUGGCCAAUGACUGGGGUG